UUUCCGUAGGUGAACCUGCGGAAGGAUCAUUAAAAAUGAAGCCGGGAAACCGGUCCUUCUAACCCUUGAUUAUCUUAAUUUGUUGCUUUGGUGGGCCGCGCAAGCACCGGCUUCGGCUGGAUCGUGCCCGCCAGAGGACACAACUCUGUAUCAAAUGUCGUCUGAGUACUAUAAAAUAGUUAAAACUUUCAACAACGGAUCACUUGGUUCUGGCAUCGAUGAAGAAGGCAGC
Molecule: unclassified non-coding RNA, 232 nt
Filed under: plant metagenome
Description: partial contains small subunit ribosomal RNA, internal transcribed spacer 1, and 5.8S ribosomal RNA
Rfam family: 5.8S ribosomal RNA (bases 184-232)
Source: RNAcentral